This 399-nucleotide ribosomal RNA is filed under the name uncultured bacterium. RNAcentral describes it as "bacterial SSU rRNA". It matches the Rfam family "Bacterial small subunit ribosomal RNA", at positions 356 to 772 of the family's 1533-position model. The record is from RNAcentral.
CGGGAAUUUUGGGCAAUGGGCGAAAGCCUGACCCAGCAACGCCGCGUGAAGGAUGAAGUAUUUCGGUAUGUAAACUUCGAAAGAAUGGGAAGAAUAAAUGACGGUACCAUUUCUAAGGUCCGGAUAACUACGUGCCAGCAGCCGCGGUAAUACGUAGGGACCAAGCGUUGUUCGGAUUUACUGGGCGUAAAGGGCGCGUAGGCGGCGUGGUAAGUCACUUGUGAAAUCUCUGAGCUUAACUCAGAACGGCCAAGUGAUACUGCUGUGCUAGAGUGCAGAAGGGGCAAUCGGAAUUCUUGGUGUAGCGGUGAAAUGCGUAGAUAUCAAGAGGAACACCUGAGGUGAAGACGGGUUGCUGGGCUGACACUGACGCUGAGGCGCGAAAGCCAGGGGAGCAAA